GCUGGGGCUCUAGUAAUUCAUGAAGGAUGUUCACAUUCUUUCCCAGGCUUGUUUUUCUCUCACAGAAGCUUUGACUAAAACCCCAAGAAUGAUUUUGUGAUUUGACGCUGGCCAACAACUAAGCACCACACAGACACUCCCACUUCUCCCCUCUCCCUGAGGGGAAGAGAAUUGGAAGAGUAAAACUGGCACCUUCAGCUCAGCUCGGCUUGGAGUGGUUGGUGUUGUCAGAAGCAACUUUUGCUCUCCUCUCAGCAGAAGUGAUGUGAAAAACAUGGCAGAAGGGAGAAGAUGAGCUAAAUAAGCUUCUAACCAGCUAAUAAGGGUAAGUUCAAAAAUACAGCAGGGCUUGAAUGUCUGAAAAGCAAACUAAUGCUCACAUGUCCUGAGAGGGGCUUGCUGUACUGUUUGGCCUUGGCAGAACUAUGUAGGUGGAUAACUCAUUUCACAAAGAUACUGCUCCCCUUCUGUCAGACAAACGUAUGCCAUCAGGAAAGAAUCUCUAACAUUUAUGAACUGCAGACUCGCAUUUUUCAGCCUUUGCUGGUAUUUUAUAUAUACUGAUAAAGUAAUAAAUAGAAUAUUCA
Taeniopygia guttata (zebra finch) is the source of this 587-nucleotide non-coding RNA. The record is from RefSeq and is a predicted model, not a curated record. Lineage: Eukaryota; Metazoa; Chordata; Aves; Passeriformes; Estrildidae.